CCGCAAAUUGCAGGGGAAUCACCACAAAGCAGCUUCCAUUAAUGAAAAUUAACGGCAAAAUUGGGAAUAACAGAAGUAUAUAAUUUGAUAUAAUCAAAAUCUAGAAAUGGUUCCGAUUUAAAGCAGCGACAGCAGCAACAUGAUAAAGGUAAAGAGCAUGAAUGAAAAGCAAAACUGAAAGUGAAAUUCAGCGGUUUUGUGAUAACAAAUGGAUCAGUACCUCCUGGUGAAGGGGAAGUUUUGUUGGACAGGGACAGGGUCAACCUGGGUGAUGCCGCUGAUUUCGUUGAGUCCGAGGGAGUGGAGCAUAUCCAUGGUUUCCUUGUCCACCUCGAUGUGCUCGGUGUUGAUGGCGGAGAUUUCGGGAACGAAGUCCAUGCGUCGCUCCCUCUCCUCCUCCUGCAGCUUGAGCGAGAUGCCGCGAACAGAACCCUUCUGGAUCCGUUUCAUGAGAUGUGUUGAGAAACCUGCGAUCUUGUUCCGCAGCCUCUUCGAGGGGACGAUCGCCACUUCUUCUAGAAGCUUCUUGUUCGUGUGAAAAUCCAGCGUCAUCCUCGAAUAGUAACGCUCGAUCACUUGGCGUGAAGAUUUCUUCACCGUCUUAGUCCUCACGCGCCCCAUGCUUCUUCUUCUUCUUUCUUCUUCUUCUUCCUCUCUGCGGCUUCUCUUCUCUUCUCUUGCAGUGUUACUUCAAAUUUAGGUUUACAUAUUUUAUCCCAAACUUGGGCUUUCUUACUUUGGGCUUCAACUUUUCAAAAAAUAUAUACAUUACUUUGUUUCUUCCUGUACCCCUUUUCUAUUCUUAUGUCACUCUCAUAAUUUAAAAAUAUAUAGGUUUUUUUUUCCUAUUUGUUUUUUGGAUUAAACUUUUUGAAUAAUACAAUUGAUGGUUAGAAGGUUAAUAAAUCUAAAUUUGUUAUAAAAUAAGGGUAUAUUUUCGUUAUAAAUUUUGGAAUAGUAGAUUUGGAAUUAUUUUUUCAUUUAGAUAACUUAAAUAAAUAUUUUUUUUACUUUUGUAACUUGGAUCAUGCAUACAUAGUUAACUCAAGUAAAAAUAGUUAAAUCAAUUUGACAGGUGAAUGUAAAUAAUAAUAUUGAAUCGUUUAAAUCAUUUUAACGCAAAUAUUAUAUGUAAUAAAUAGAAAUUAAAAAUAAGAAUUUAUACAAAUCAUAAUUAGAAGUAAGAAAUGAGCAUUAUAUUAGAAAGAACAAUUGAAAAAGAAAAGAAACUCAGAAUGAUGAACUCCAAAUAUUUACACUAGAAUAUAUUUUUUUUAUCAGAUAAUCUAUAAUAAAAUAUGAGAAUGUGAAAUAAAGGAUUAAUUGCAAAUAGAAAUAGUUAAUUUUAAUAAUAAUGUAUGAUACUUGUUUUGUAUAUGAGUUCAUUUGAAAUAUAAUGUUUUAUUUAUGUAACAUGACAUUAACACUAUUAAAAUACAAACAAAAAAUUAAAAACUGCUUCACAAAAAAAACAGUGACUAUGAAAAUGGUUCGAUUUGAUAUUUUUAAACUAAUUGGGGUCACACUAUUAAAUUGCAAAUUCUAGUAGUUUUUCUUUACGAAUAGUGGUGAUUAAAAGUUGUAACAAUUGUUAUCAUUUUGAAAAUAUAAAAUCACAUUAGCAAAACACAAAUUUAAAAAUAGAUGGAAAAUAAUACGAAUUCCCAGUACGUUUAUUCUUGCUUUUAAAAAUAAUUUUCAAAUACUCAUACAGAAAAAAAAAAUAUACAUCUUUUUUUAUUGGUUUUUAUAUAAAAUUUUUAAAAAGGGAUAAAAAAAGAACAAUUAUUAACUUAUGAUUAGCUUUUACAUUAUUAUUGAAAAGUGUAUUAUAUUAUUCCUUUUAGCAAAGAUUAAUUUUAAAUAUAUUUUCGGUAGUAUUAAUUAAUAUUGAGUUAUAAACAUAAUUUAUUUAUACUUAAAAGCUUUAAUUAUAAUUUUUUUUUUGGAUUAAAAUUAUGAAUAAAUUCAUUCUCUUAAAUAGGAUUCUUCUUCUAAUUUAGUUUACUUGUAUCUUAACUAAUUUUACUGGUAAUAUUGUAUUUGUAGUCAUAGUGGACGGACGGUCUAGUGGUUAAAUAGGGUAAAUGGUCAAGUAACUUAAGAAAGCAAAUCAGUAACAUCACGUGUAAUUAAGAUGAAGGUGUAAAAAGAGUAUGGUGUGAAUAUUUUAAACUAGACAAUUUGAAGGAAGUUUUUACUACACCAAUGCAUGAGUUUGAUAGGAGCGCCUACUGAUGUGACUGAGCCUUUGAUAAAUCAAGUUCAAGUGGCUUUUCUGAAUUACAAUGCAAAAAAUUGAGUAAAAAAAUAUUUAAUAAAAUCUACAAUAUCUCAUAAACAGAUUGAGAAACAUAUCAGUUGACAAAAUAAGAAGAAACAAAAUUGCAACAAAACUAGAAACAAAAUAUAAAAAUUCUAGAGAGUUGGAAACUAAGAAUUCAUCAAUAAUAUUUGAACCACGAUCAAAUUCCGAAAUCCAUGGAGCAAAGAAACUUAUAAUUACAGAUGUGGGAGGUAAUUCUCAUAUUGGAGCGUCAACUAUUCCGCCUACCAUUGUUGGAAUUAAUUCUGAUCAUAUUGAAAAUCAGGUUGUUUCAAAAUUUUGGGCUGACUCUACUGAGAUGGAGGAGGAUGAUAGUGAUAAUGGGGAAGAAACAGUUCGCACUAAAAGAAAACCAGGGAGACCACCUAAGGGGACUGGUAAAUCCAGGAAAACUGCUAAGGCAGUUCUCUCUACAACGUCGCAAUGAAGGUCUCUUCUUUUUUUUGGAAUGUCAGAGGAUUGGGAAACCACAAAACUGUGGAGAUGUUGCUUAGUUUACUUAAGCUACAUAAACCUCUCCUGGUUUUUCUUGCUGAACCCAUGAUGUCGUACACUACUGCUUUUGACGUCCUUUUCAAAUCUGUCAAUAUGCAUUUGGUGGCUACAUCUCCUAUUGUUAAUAAAGUUGCUAAGCUUUGGUGUUUGUCAGUUCCUAAUCUUGUCCAAAAUUUCUUGGUUAAUGAUCAAUUUAUCUCUGUAACUUGUCUUUGGCAGGAUAAAAGUUUUAGCUUUGCAGGUGUUUAUGGUGCUAACACAUACUUGUCUAGACGAUUUUUGUGGAGGGAUCUUAGUUUCUUCACAGGGCCUUGGUGUAUUCUGGGAGAUUUUAAUGUUGUGCUCUCGGCGGAUGACUAUAAAGGGGGAGUGGCUCCUAAUCAGGUUUCUUGUAAUGAAUUCCUGGAUUGGAUUAAUACUAAUGAUCUUUCUUGUAUGCCUUUUACUGGAUCUUGUUAUACUUGGUGUAACGGAAGGAGAGGGUGGCAUANNNNNNNNNNNNNNNNNNNNNNNNNNNNNNNNNNNNNNNNNNNNNNNNNNNNNNNNNNNNNNNNNNNNNNNNNNNNNNNNNNNNNNNNNNNNNNNNNNNNNNNNNNNNNNNNNNNNNNNNNNNNNNNNNNNNNNNNNNNNNNNNNNNNNNNNNNNNNNNNNNNNNNNNNNNNNNNNNNNNNNNNNNNNNNNNNNNNNNNNNNNNNNNNNNNNNNNNNNNNNNNNNNNNNNNNNNNNNNNNNNNNNNNNNNNNNNNNNNNNNNNNNNNNNNNNNNNNNNNNNNNNNNNNNNNNNNNNNNNNNNNNNNNNNNNNNNNNNNNNNNNNNNNNNNNNNNNNNNNNNNNNNNNNNNNNNNNNNNNNNNNNNNNNNNNNNNNNNNNNNNNNNNNNNNNNNNNNNNNNNNNNNNNNNNNNNNNNNNNNNNNNNNNNNNNNNNNNNNNNNNNNNNNNNNNNNNNNNNNNNNNNNNNNNNNNNNNNNNNNNNNNNNNNNNNNNNNNNNNNNNNNNNNNNNNNNNNNNNNNNNNNNUCCAUGCUGUGGUCAUGAGCAGGACUUCAUCAAUAGUGGGAUUCAUCGUCUACGGAUUGAUAAUGAGGUUACGGAGGAUCCUAAAAUCAUUAAGGAUCAUAUUUUGGACUUUUAUAAAAAUCUUUAUGCUGAGUCUAUUUCUAAUGUUCUGAAUGCUGAUAAUAUGGAAGAUUUUAUUGGUACUUAUAUUCCUCCUAUGGUUUCCUCUGAGGAGAAUAUGAUGUUGAUUAAAUGUCCUGAUUUUUCUGAAAUCAAGAAUGCGGUUUUUCAUCUUAACGGUAAUAGUGCUCCUGGUCCUGAUGGUUUUGGUGGUGUUUUCUAUCAUUCUUGCUGGGAAAUUAUUGGGACAGAUGUUUGUAAUGCUGUUCAACAAUUUUUUAAACAAAAUUGGGUUCUCCUUGGAAUGAACAGUAAUGUGGUAUCUCUUAUUCCUAAGAUUCAGGGUGCUGAUUCCAUUAAAGAUUACAGGCCAAUUGCUGUUGCUAAUUUCAAAUUUAAAAUUAUUUCCAAGAUACUGGCGGAUAGGCUUGCUCUUGUGGCUGCUAGAAUCAUUUCUCCUAAUCAAUAUGGGUUUGUGCAGGGUAGACAGAUUCAGGAUUGCAUUGGUAUUGCUUCUGAGGCUAUUAAUAUGCUUUCUAAAAAGGUUAGAGGAGGUAAUGUGGCUUACAAAGUUGAUAUUCAUAAAGCUUUUGACACUCUGAGUUGGAAGUUCUUAUUAUUAGUUUUGAAACGCUUUGGUUUUCACCCCUCGUUUGUCAGUUGGAUUAGUACAAUUCUCCGUUCAGCUAUGCUUUCUAUCAGAAUAAGUGGUAGUUUGGUGGGUUUUUUUCCCUGCAGUCGAGGUGUAAGACAAGGUGAUCCAUUGUCUCCUUUACUUUUUUGUCUUGCAGAGGAAGUUCUUAGUAGAGGUAUUUCUAAGCUUGUGAAUGAUAAGAAGAUUUUAAAUAUGGCUAGUCCGAAAGGUUAUCUCACUCCCUCUCAUAUUUUGUAUGCUGAUGACAUUUUUAUUUUCUGUAGGGGGGAUAUUAAGUCUCUUCGAAAUUUGAGUACUUUUCUUAAAACAUAUGGUGAUUUUUCUGGUCAAUAUAUUAAUAACUCUAAAAGUAGUUUCUUCACCAUGGAUAAUUCUCCAAGAUUUGUCACCAAAAUUCAAAAUAUUCUUUCUUGUAGUCAUGGUUGUUUGCCUUUCAAUUAUUUAGGAGUGCCUAUCUUUGUUGGUGCUCCAAAGUGUCGAUUUCUUCAACCUUUGACGAUAAAGUCAAAUUGAAGCUAGCAUCUGGAAAGNNNNNNNNNNNNNNNNNNNNNNNNNNNNNNNNNNNNNNNNNNNNNNNNNNNNNNNNNNNNNNNNNNNNNNNNNNNNNNNNNNNNNNNNNNNNNNNNNNNNGGGAAAUGCAUGUGCUGAUAAGUUGGCUAAUUUAGGGUUCAUUCAUAGACAAUCAUUUCAUUGGUAUAAUAGACUUCCAUCUAGUCUGUUCUUAGAAUUCUUUAUGAAUAGGUAUAGUCUACCUAUGUUUCGUUUUUGUUAACAUGUGGGUUUUGGUCUAGUCCCCCCAUAUUUUUGUAUUUUCUUUCUUUUUUCUUUUUUUAAUAAUACUUUUUUCAUGUGAUGGCAGAUGAUUGUUGUUACUUGAGAUGUCAGCCUAGCCGAGAUGUCAAGUUGCAUAGUGAUGCCUAACAUGAAAAAUUUUCAUUAAAAAAAAAAAAUCACAAAUCGUAUUAAUUCCCACUCUGGGAUAAGUUCAUAAAAUAGAGUCUUAGUUUUUUCUUUGUUUUCUUAUUGUCUUUUUUGUAAUUCUUUCAUUUUUCUUCCGUAUGGAAGGUUAAACUCUAUUAGUGUAAUUCUCUUAUAAUUUCACUAUUAAUUUUGAGGUUAUUGUUCAAUAAAGUUUUGUUUUAAAUAUUUUUUACCAAAUUAUACUAGACGAUAUGAUCUUUUUGAAUUUUGGUUUCUGUUAAGGAAUUGUGUUUUCAUGCUUGUUGAGUAUUUGGUUCUUUUCUUUAAUUGGAGUUCUUACUUAGUUCACUUAAUUCUAAUCAAUCUCUUGUUUGCUUAAUUUAAGAGGUAGAAGAUAAACAUUUCACGAGCAGACACUUAGAGACAAGUGAGAUACUGAAUAUGUCAAUAGACACUUAUUCUGUUGAUAAGAUUCUAUAGAAUUUGAUUGAGACUAGUUUGAUUAAGUUCAACUUUGUUUGAGAAUUGAAAGAAUCAUCAUCUUAUGUUAACCGAUGAAAGAUUCAAUGCUGAAAGAAAUUCCUAAUCAACCUGUUUUCUCUAUCAGUUUAUCCCGUCUUUUUACAUUAUCUGCUAAACAAUCUCAACAUUUUUUUCAAUUUACUGUUUUUGAUAACUUUUAAUGAUUGCAGAUAAAUUUUGAACAUUGAUUAAUUGAAUUCACUAUUGAAUUAAUUGACAAACUACUUGGAGUCAACUAAUUCUAUCUAUUAUAUCAUCUUUUAAUAUUAAACAAUCUAGCAUUGUGUUAGACAAUCUAUACUGGAAUUAUUUUUAUUUUGAUUGUAAAGGGACAUCCAUCAAAUUUGGCAUUGUUGUCGAGAAAUUCAGUUUGAAUUUGGUCCUCAAUUUUCCAAUUCACCUACAAUUUUUCUACAUUUCCUUAUUUAUCUGCAUAAUUUUUAAUUUUCUUUUUUUUUAUGUUUUACAUUCUACUUGUACAGAGCUUUUUCAAUUUUUGCAUUAAUCACAAUAUUAUAAAAAAAAAUAGUCUUUAAUAUAUACUCAUUCUUUAGGAACGUCUAAUAGGUUAUGAUAUGUUUAUACAAAUGUGUGUUUAUCUAGAGCAUGACUAGAACAAAUCCAGGUGAAUUACAUUUAUUUGAUCCAUAAAUUAAAUUUGCAUACCAUAGGCUAGCUAGACAACUUAGUAUACUUAAUCUUUUUAUUGAUAGACAAUAUAGCUAUAGAGCAUAUAAUUGUUUUUCAUCACCUAUUUCUACUUAUUAUGGAAUAGAAACUGAUAUUAUGGCUAAAAGAAAAUUGAGAGAACUUAUUGCACUAGAAGUUUCCAUUCAGACCUUAUGUAUUCAAUAUCCUGAUUCAAAUGUGCAAUGUGAAUUAAAAUUUGGUUUAAUACAUUUAUUGCCUAAGUUUCAUGGUCUAGUAAGUGAAAACAUACAUAAGCACCUCAAGGAAUUUCAUAUCGUAUGCACCACCAUGAGACUGUCUAGAGUCCUAAAAGAACACAUUAAGAUGAAGGAAUUUCCCUUCUCUUUGCAUGACACAACAAAAGACUAGUUCUACUAACUUACACUAGGAUCCGUCACUGGGAAAAUUUGAAAAGAACACUCUUGGAAAAAAAAUUCCCUACGUCUAAAGUGACUGGGAUUCGGAAGAAGAUAUGUGGGAUAAGGAAAUUGGAUAGGUGAAACCUAUAUAAGUAUUAGGAAAGAUUCAAGAGACUCUGUACAAGUUGCUCAUACCACCAAAUUCUUGAGAAAUUGCCAAUCCAGUACUUUUAUGAAGGACUAACAAUAAUGGAUAGGUAAAUGAUAGAAACUACUAGUGGAUGAACUUUAUUGUAUAAGAUUCCAGCUACAACUAGACAAUUAAUUCAGAACAUGGCUUCAAAAAUAGUUCAACAUUAGAAGUAACUUUGCAAUAGUAACUAAAGGGGUCCAUGAGACGGGGACUAUGUGUGUUGAUCACUCAAAGUUGGAAACGAAGCUAAAUUAUAUAGUGUCUAUGGUAAAACAACUAGUCAUGUCUCAAACAAUUGCUAAGGUAUGUGGUAUUUGUACUUUUAAUAAUCAUUAUAGCUUAAUGAAGGAGUAGUACUUAGUGCCCUCAAGCAUAGCCUACCAACAUUAACAAUAAUAGUAUAAUGUCCACUGGAUUUCAUUUUAACAGUAGAUUGUCUAAUUGAUGUGACUUGAUUUUAGAAUUGCAUAUGGUAUAGGUUUCACUUUGUUUAUGAUUUUUGAAUUAAGUAGAAUAUGGUGAUGAGCUCAAAGAAGAUUGUCAUUGGACACGAACUUAACCAAGUGGUUAAGUAAGUGUAAAGGUUAUCUUCUAAAGAGCAAAAGAGAAAACACAAUAUAAGGUGAAGAUGAUGAUGAUUGCGGAAUUAAAGAGCAUAAGAUAGAAAUGACCAAAUGUGAAAAGAGAAAUAAAGAACAUGAAUGGAAAGACAAGGCGUAAAUGAAGGAAGGAAAAAGAGAAAGAGUGAAAGAAGCUUAUGGAGGAGAUGACUAUGGAGGGGUCACACCACUUGGAAUGGUGGAUGGUUCCAAGAUGGGUGGUGAAGAGCCUCCACUUGAGGUGCACUACACUUAAGAUAAGACUUAAAUUCUAGGAAACUCGGCUUACUAAACACUCUGACAUAGUUUCUUUUCUAUUCAAAAUUUAAUGUGUCAUUUACAAGAGGGAAGGAACCCUAUUUAUAGAUAUGAGUGCCUUAGAGAGGAAGACAUGAAGGGUAGGGGUGUAAAUGACUACAAGCUUCUAGAAACUAGGUUAAAUGUGAGCACAUGGGGGAGUCUUCUAGAAUCUAGGUCAAAGGUGAGCACAUGGGUGAGUUUCUAGAAGCUAGGUUAAAAUGAGCUUUGGCACAAGUCCAAUUUACUAAGUACACCCUUUUCUAGCUUAAUUUUCUAAUUGAAGCUCAAAGUGAGCCCAAUUUAUUUACUUAACUUGUCUUGUAAGAAGACUACAAGGAAGAAUAGUUGAUAUUUUGGUUCAUGUUCGGUUCUCCUUCUGUUCAGAUUUGGUGGGCCUUGUCUUGUAUGUUGAGAUGACUGACCUAGUUGUGAAGAAUUUGUGGUGUCCUUAGCCAUUUGUUUGUCGAGUUGGUUUGUAUCACUAAUCAACAACAAUAAUAUAACCAUGAUCUGUCAUCCAAUAAAUACAACCCAGGUUGGAGGAAUCAUCCUAAUUUAAGUUGGGGCAAUAACUUAUCACAACAAUAGAAAUAAGCUCACGUGGCAUAUAAAUAAAAUGUUAUUAAACCUCCUUAAAAUAUAGCCUUUGCAUUUACGCCAACAAUUGCAACCACUGAUGUUAUAUCAUCCAAGAAUGGACUUUCCCUAGAAGACAUGAUGAAGUAGAAGGUUGAGCACAACAUGAAUUUCCAUUAGAGAAUGAAGAUAACCAUUUAGAACCUCAAAAAUCAUAUUGGUUAAAUUGCCACUAGUGUAAACUAGAUGGAAUCUCAAGGGACCAACAAGUUGUCUUCCCAGACAGUUAUCAACCUAAAAAAUAUUAGUGUAAUUAUGUUGAGAUUAUGGAAGAAUAUGUAAGAAUCACAACAAGUUGAGACUUAUAGCGCUAGACGAUAUGGCCAAACGGUCUAGUGAGUCUAAUACAACUGUAGAGGAACCUGAACAAAAAAGAGUUAUGUCUACUCCUCAGAGAAGUUCAACUUCUCUUUCAUUCUCUAAAAUAGUGAAUUCCAUAUCAUAACUCAAAUUUUGCUAAUAAAAAUUAGAACUCUGACAAUAGAGACCAACCAUCUACUAGUAAAAAAGAACCGUCUAUCAGUUUGGAACCCUCAUCUUUUUCCAUAGAGGUUUAAAUUAAUAAAGAGAUUUUGGAAACCUUCAGGAAGGUAAAGGUAAACAUUCCUCUACUGGACUAUAUUAAAUAAAUCCCAAAGUAUGCCAAAUAUUUAAAGGAUCUAUACACAUAUAGAUGUGUCUAAAAGGUAAUGAGAAAGUUAACAUGACCAAGAAUGUAUUUGCACUUAUUCUGAAAUGUAGGGCUGAAAUUCCAUAAAAAUGAAAAGAUCCAGGAGCAUUCAUUAUUCCUUGCAUCAUAGCAAUAACACAUUUGAACACAUUAUACUUGAUUUAGAAGCAUCUAUCAAUAUUAUGCCUUUAUUUGUUUUCACUUCCUUCUUUCUUGACCUUUUGGAAACUACAUGUGUUGAAAUCUGGUCAAUAGGAACAUAGUCCAUCCUACAAGACUUAUAUAUUAUGUGUCCAACCUAGCAUGUCACACAAUAGCAAUACACAAAGUUCACUUUCUCCUCUGUCCAUCUCUCAUUAUUCCUCCUUCAUCCUUAUUUCUCCUGUUGCAAGAUCCACUUACAAUAUAAUUCCACAUCUACUUUUGUCCUGUUUUUCAUAUCUAUUCUCCCAGGUACUAAAUUGCUACCCUCCAAUUAGGUAUUGCCUUUCUUUAUAUCUCUAUACGCUAGUUGUGCGAAUAGAUAAGUUUAUGUCAUUGGUAUGUUAAUACUCAGUUAUCCUAAGCCAUUAGUGGAUGUUUCUAAAUUUUUAUUUUGUUUCUCUUUUAUACCUUAUAGUCUACGUAACAACCCUUAUGACAAUACUUUCUCUCACUCUAAUGCAUCACUAAACUCCGAUAAAUAUAUAUAUAUUUUUUCAAUGACCGAUUAUAUUUUUGACAUAUAACUUGGAUACUUUUGCCUAGUCAUGUCCCUUUAUAUGUCAUCUCUUCAUAGAUUUUAUGUGAUGUACAUGAAUGUACCAAUCGAAGUAUGUGAAACUCGUCUUCAAAAAUUUGUGUUUUAUCCAUGUUCACACCCUCAUCUAUUGGUUACUAAACACAUUUUUCCUAUCAACCUUCUCAUUUCUACAUACAACAUUAUUCUUUUGAUCUCAUAGACUCCAAAUGACAGCUACCCACAUCCUUUUCCAUGUCAUAUUUCUUCUACCAUUAAGCUCAAAUAGAUAACAUUGUUGAAAGUUUUCUAUAGCUUGAUUAUGAUGCACUUACCCCUACACAUUUAUCACACAUGUUCCACUACCUAAUAACCACGUUACAGCCAAAGAACAAAUGACUAAUUGUUUCCUCCAUCUCUUCACACAUUGCACAUUGCUAAUUUGUUAUAUGAUUUAAGUUUACCCUAGUAACCACAACAUUUAGCAUUUCCCUCUAUGUAAAAGCUUGUGUUGAAGGCAGAGCAUUUACCUUCUGGAACAUAAUGAAUAAUCCUAUUCAUCCCCACUGUUAUUGCUCUACAGCCUUAGAUAAGCUAACUUUACCUUGUAUAAUUCAUCCUUUUCCUCUAUCCACACUCAAGUAUCCUCAUUUUCCCUUCCUAAAGAAUUCCUUUAUACCUUCUAUGAAAAAGUUAAUUCAUUCAAGUUAGUUGUUGGUUUCUUGUAUAAACUAUCGGCGAAUGAUCCAAAUUGUAGCAUUGUCACCAAGUGAUGCAUGGCCACCUCGAGACUCAAAUUCUGGAUAUUCAAAGAUAACUUACUGAACCUUUUUAUGAAAGUUUGAAGUGACUCACCUUUUUCUUGUCGUAUAUUGACGAGUGCAAUGGAUGUUAGAUGAUGUGGUCGACUGAUUGUGAAUUGAGUGUCAAACAUGGAUAAAAGUGUUAUAAAGCAAUCCACCAAGCAAUGGGGAAGCGUGGUAAACCAAUUGAGUGCCCAUCCUUUUACUGAGGUCGAGAAUACUCGGCACGACACCGAGUUGCCAGAUGUAUAAAGACUCAUUUGAGUUUUAUACACAUCCAUGUGCUUGUCCAAAUAUGUGGUUCUAUCAUUUAGAUCAAUGUUCAGCCAUUUUCAAUUAGGAGGAAGUUGUGCUUCCAUGAUCUAAUCAGAGAAGGGAUAUCCCUUAGGUUUUUCUUAAAAAACAAGAGUGCGUUCUGAUUGAUAGUGUCUAGAGGAUUGAUGAGUCUGAGUUCGAAUAAUGGUAGUCUUCUGAUUUUGUGUAUCCUCGGAUUUUUUCGGGGAGGCUUGUCUUCCACCUUCCGGAUCCAACCCUUGAGGCCCUGGUCCGGGUGGUGGUUUUAUCACUUUUGGGUCUGGCUUUCGUUGCCCUGGUCCGAGUGCGAUCCCAGCUAAUUGUUGCUUCAUUUGAUCGUUUUGCUCCUACAGGAUUCGUAUUUCCUCCUCAUUCUUCUAAUAGAGGGUUUGUAUCUCUUCCCUAUUCUUCUGGCGCAUUUUUGCCAUCUCUUUUUGUAAGGUUUGGAGCAUAACUAUUUGGUUGGCCUUGUCAUUUUCUCACUUUCCAUUUGCCUUGUCGAAACCAUUUGUGGCUUUUUAAGUCUAUCUCGGCAUCAUGGUGGGUGUAUAGGGCCUAGAUAGUACCUGCUACUGGCUUGAACAUUUGUCCCUUGUCCUUCGGUCGCUCCUCUUUCUCCUUCUUGUACUCGCUCUUUGGUACUCAGUCGGGAAAAAACCUGCAAAAGGUUCUCUGACGAUCAAGUAAGUGUUAUGUAUAAGAGUGAGUGAUAUAUUGAUAAAAACGUAAAAUAAUUAGACCUAUUUAUAUUGCUAAUAGUCGUAUCUAAUAUGCAUCUUUAAUAAAAUAGUAUUACUUGAUUUAUCGUUAUUUAUCAAAUUUAUAACAUAUUACCUUAAUUAUUGCAUAUCUUUUUACUCUCUAUUAAUGUACCAAUUUGUCUGGUUGGUUAGCUACUGACUUACUCAGCUCCGACCUAUACACUUUUAAUUAUUAAAUAAAUCACAUCACUAUAUUCAAUUUUCUUUAUAUAACUUUUGUGCAACUAUUGUUACGUAAAUUUAUUAUUAUAAUUUAGCAUAUAUACAAAACUAAUUUUAUAUUAAAAAAUAUUCAAUUUCAAUUGUGAAUUAUCUUUCAAAUUCACAUUUCAAAAUUAUAAUUUUAAUACUUUUCCUACUCUACGGUUAUUAGACUGUUCAAACCACGAUCAUUGAUUCACUCAUUGGCGAUAAUCAACCACUAAAAUACCUCCUGGAAUCUCGACAACACUCACGGAACAAUUCUAUUGAGAUUCUAGCUAGGCUCACAAUUUAUCUUCAAAAUUUCACUAUUUCUUUUCAUCAGUUUCUCACACGAAACAAUCCUACAAUUAUUUCUCAUUUUUAAUUUUUGUCACCACUUUUAUCAUAAUAAAUAUUUAUUUUUAAUAAUCAUUUUAAAUAUUUUUACUUUUCUAACGUAUUUAAAUAUCUUGAAAAACUCCAUUAAUUUUUUUUCAAGAUCUACAAAAUUAUUUAUUACCAUAAAAAAUGAAUAAAUAAUAAUAUUUUAUUUUAAAUUGUUUAAAUACCAAAAAUAAUAUUUAUUUUAUUUAAACCAUUAUAUUUAUUUUUAAACGCAUAAUUCCAAAAUUAUGAUUAUAUUUCCUAUUAUCAAUAUUUUCAGCUUUUAAAAACUAACAAUCACAAACUGAACUCUAAACAAUAUUUUUAAACCAAAUUUUAUUUAUCCUUAAAUAAUUAUCCCUCCUCUCAAACCAAUUAAAAUUGAUUCUCUAUUCUCAAUUAACUAUUUCGGUUAACUUUUCUCUAAUAUUUUUUUCAUUUUUUUUUCUUUCGUCCCUUUAAAACAAAAAAAAAAACAUCAGAUUCGUCCCCACAAAAACCAAAUUCUCGGGAUUCAAGAAUCGAAUUCGCAAAAUGAAGAGUAAAUCAAUUCAUUUCGGGAAAAAAAGGAGAUUUGUCCAUUUGGAAGAUUUUUUUUAUAAAGAUAUUGAUGUGGAUAUUCCUGCGUAAAAUGUAUUUUCAUAUUAAAUAUUAAAUACCUUGCAACUACCCUGUAAUGCUUGUGCUACUUUCUGAAGUAAGAACUAAAACAAACGAAUCAGAUUUUGGAACUAAAAUUAUAGUUUAUAACACGUUUUCAGCAUUAUUCUGGUUGAGAAAUUUGUAAAAAUGGACCAAUAUUCCAUUAAGCAAGCUCUAACACAAGUGCCCAAAUCCUAAUCGUGUUCAUGCUAGAAUUUCCAAUGAUUCAUUUGGGGUACAGAAAAAGGGUUCAUGAAAUUAGGUUUCAUCCACAGGGUCCUCUUAAACUGAGAAAAUUAUUCAAAUUUCCCACGAAAUUACGAGAAACUUGUUGGUUGGGUACUGGAGUGAGCUGAUGAAGUUUUUCUUGACCAUAAUUUAAGCGAUCAAAUGCUGGUUUUAAGAACUAAAACCUAAACCCUAAACUACGGAUCAAAAUCCAAUUAUCGAAAGCAACUAGGGUUAGGGUUUACCCCCAUUCCCCGCAAAUUGCAGGGGAAUCACCACAAAGCAGCUUCCAUUAAUGAAAAUUAACGGCAAAAUUGGGAAUAACAGAAGUAUAUAAUUUGAUAUAAUCAAAAUCUAGAAAUGGUUCCGAUUUAAAGCAGCGACAGCAGCAACAUGAUAAAGGUAAAGAGCAUGAAUGAAAAGCAAAACUGAAAGUGAAAUUGGGAGGUUUUGUGAUGACAGAUGAUGGAUCAGUACCUCCUGGUGAAGGGGAAGUUUUGUUGGACAGGGACAGGGUCAACCUGGGUGAUGCCGCUGAUUUCGUUGAGUCCGAGGGAGUGGAGCAUAUCCAUGGUUUCCUUGUCCACCUCGAUGUGCUCGGUGUUGAUGGCGGAGAUUUCGGGAACGAAGUCCAUGCGUCGCUCACGCUCCUCCUCCUGCAGCUUGAGCGAGAUGCCGCGAACAGAACCCUUCUGGAUCC
Molecule: long non-coding RNA, 14193 nt
Filed under: Phaseolus vulgaris (common bean)
Lineage: Eukaryota; Viridiplantae; Streptophyta; Magnoliopsida; Fabales; Fabaceae
Description: long non-coding RNA (PVUL_LNC000533)
Source: RNAcentral